UGAGCUGGAGUAGUCUCAGAGGAACUUUCUGGCCUUUUAGAAGAUGGGUGUAGUGGAGGCUUCCUUCCGUGAGUUCUAUGCUUGCCAGUAGUGUGCUUAACCUUCUGUGGCUUCUCUGAGGAGGGGAUGUAGGUUCCUUUCACUCUGAGAGUAGCUAACUUCCUUGCAUUUACAUCCUUCAUUCUUUCCAAAGUCUUGAUGAGAGAUUGAUUUUGUCCAAUUAUAGUCUGACACUGCUGUAUUGCCUCAUCAAGUUCUUUGUUGUGCUCUUCUAUUAGCUCCUUUUCUAUUCUUCCUAGCAUAACUUCCCUGAUUCUUUGAGCCAACAACAACUUAGACUCAUGCUCUGUCUUAUCCUCAGUAUUUUUCUCUUCAUCACUAAUUUCUAGCUUCUCAGUUUCAGCAUCACUACCUUCCUCCACUUUCUUCCCUUUUUCUAUCUUUUCAGGCUCUUUCUUCUUUUCUGUUUCUCCUUUUUCUGAUUCUUCUUUCUCUGCAGUACUCUCCUUUUCAGUUUCCUCUUUUCUCUCUUCUUCUAAUUCUUCUUCUUGUGUUUCUUCUUUCUCUUCUUCUGCCUUUUCUUCUGUCUUCUUUUCCUC
RNAcentral lists this long non-coding RNA (599 nucleotides) under Jatropha curcas. RNAcentral describes it as "long non-coding RNA (JCUR_LNC001735)". The record is from RNAcentral. Lineage: Eukaryota; Viridiplantae; Streptophyta; Magnoliopsida; Malpighiales; Euphorbiaceae.